Molecule: non-coding RNA, 78 nt
Organism: Caenorhabditis elegans
Lineage: Eukaryota; Metazoa; Nematoda; Chromadorea; Rhabditida; Rhabditidae
Source: Ensembl
UUGGUCUGCUAAAAAUUUGUGUAGUUUGUAGUCUAGCAGGCCCAAGUUAGGUUGGGUCUGCCAGACUACAAACUACAA